Long non-coding RNA from Felis catus (domestic cat), 507 nucleotides. RefSeq lists it as uncharacterized. The record is from RefSeq and is a predicted model, not a curated record. The transcript is spliced from 4 exons. Lineage: Eukaryota; Metazoa; Chordata; Mammalia; Carnivora; Felidae.
CACCACUUUUAGGGACGCACCUCAUUGUUCUGAGCAAGCUCUUUCUUCCAUCAUCACCUCUCAUCUAGUUCCAUGGUCUCCCGGGAGCUCCAGACAGUGACAAAAGGCCACUUCGUGUGGUCUAGGAAGUCCUUUCCAUGUUGAACCCAUGAAAGGCUUACCACGUUUGAACUAGUUCUGAUGGGGGUAGGACAGAGUCCACGCUUCCUCACCCCUGUCUACAAGCACACGCCAUGCCUCCAGCCACAACCGCAGGACUCAUGGACUCCACUCAGAGUCAGACUGGUCUAAUGGCAAGAAGCAACGAACUAGGAAUGGGGAAGAUGCUAAAGCAGGUUAUACAGUUCCUGACAUGCAGAAAAUGAUCAAUAGAGGCUACAUCUAGUCCUUCCUCUUCGUGGUUAGCCUGGCGUAGAAAAGUGCUUCCGCAUCGACUCUGGGAAGUAGCAGCGCGGAGGGUUACCUGUAGGUUGUAUCAACACUCAGGUUGGCUGCAGCUAACUCUGA